GAUGAACGCUGGCGGUCUGCUUAACACAUGCAAGUCGAACGCAACCUUCGGGUUGAGUGGCGGACGGGUGAGUAACGCGUGAGAAUCUGCCUUGGGGUCGGGGACAACCACUGGAAACGGUGGCUAAUACCGGAUAAGCCUUUGGGUAGAAAAUUUAUUGCCCCAAGAGGAGCUCGCGUCUGAUUAGCUAGUUGGUGAGGUAAAAGCUCACCAAGGCAGCGAUCAGUAGCUGGUCUGAGAGGACGAUCAGCCACACUGGGACUGAGACACGGACCAGACUCCUACGGGAGGCAGCAGUGGGGAAUUUUCCGCAAUGGGCGAAAGCCUGACGGAGCAAGAACGCGUGAGUGAGGAAGGCUCUUGGGUUGUAAACCUCUUUUCUCAGGGAAGAAGCUCUGACGGUACCUGAGGAAUCAGCCUCGGCUAACUCAGUGCCAGCAGCCGCGGUAAUACGGAGGAGGCAAGCG
RNAcentral lists this ribosomal RNA (467 nucleotides) under uncultured cyanobacterium. RNAcentral's name for it is "bacterial SSU rRNA". It matches the Rfam family "Bacterial small subunit ribosomal RNA", at positions 28 to 540 of the family's 1533-position model. Lineage: Bacteria; Bacillati; Cyanobacteriota. The record is from RNAcentral.